UCCUCUCUCUAGACGCCCUGGUGAACACAGAGGCCUUUGAAAGAGGGUUUGGCGCAGGAAACUGUCGUGAAAGAAUCAUUUAAUUGUGGAGUACAUAGCUACAGACCCAGGAGUGGUUCAUGUUGGAAGAUGUCCCCAGUGUAUUGAGAAGUGGCGGCACCUUUAAGGAGUGGAGCCCAGUGGAGGGUGGAAAGUUCGAGGAGUUAAAAGUUCCAGGCCCGUGCUUCCUGCGUGACUUCAGUGUGC
Long non-coding RNA from Acomys russatus (golden spiny mouse), 246 nucleotides. RefSeq lists it as uncharacterized. Lineage: Eukaryota; Metazoa; Chordata; Mammalia; Rodentia; Muridae. The record is from RefSeq and is a predicted model, not a curated record. The transcript has 3 exons.